Molecule: ribosomal RNA, 393 nt
Filed under: uncultured bacterium
Lineage: Bacteria
Description: partial 16S ribosomal RNA
Rfam family: Bacterial small subunit ribosomal RNA
Source: RNAcentral
AUACGGAGGACGCGAGCGUUAUCCGGAUUCUUUGGGUUUUUAGGGUGCGUAGGCGGUUUGCUAAGCGGGAGGUGAAAUGCCGGCGCUCAACGUCGGAAGUGCCUCCCGAACUGGUGGACUGGAAUGACUCUGCCGUGGGAGGAAUGUGUAGUGUAGCGGUGAAAUGCUUAGAGAUUACACAGAACACCGAUUGCGAAGGCAUCUCACGAAGGGUUGAUUGACGCUGAGGCACGAAAGCGUGGGGAUCAAACAGGAUUAGAUACCCUGGUAGUCCACACAGUAAACGAUGGACACCCGCGGUUUGGCCUAUAUGGCUGAGCCGCCAAGCGAAAGCGUUAAGUGUCCCACCUGGGGAGUACGCCGGCAACGGUGAAACUCAAAGGAAUUGACGGG